CUUCUCUCAAGAAAAUAAGGCGGUCAUCCAUCACGCGAAGAGUUUCUCGACUUCCAUCAAUGGCAUCAGUGGCAAUGCAGAUUCUUCGCAUCAAUGGUGAGUCGCAUGCUUUUUGGUUCCUCUGGUCACUCAAUCAUGUCGUAGGAUGAAAGGUCCAAAUCGACACGAGUGAUUGGUUGUAUACGUAGAUUUUUGCACGAGCACAGUGACCACGGGUAUUUAUUAUACCCGUGAGUAGUAACGUUUUCCAUUGUUUUAUUUAUUAGUUUAGGCUAGGUCUUCUUGUACAUCGCGCUUUUAAAUAU
Molecule: long non-coding RNA, 305 nt
Organism: Apis florea (little honeybee)
Lineage: Eukaryota; Metazoa; Arthropoda; Insecta; Hymenoptera; Apidae
Source: RefSeq, a predicted model, not a curated record